Dasypus novemcinctus (nine-banded armadillo) is the source of this 3106-nucleotide long non-coding RNA. The record is from Ensembl. Lineage: Eukaryota; Metazoa; Chordata; Mammalia; Cingulata; Dasypodidae.
AUGAAGAAAUUGAUUAAAAGUAAUUUGUGAUGGUUUGGAAUGAUUUGAAGAAGAAACGACCUGUUAGGUUAUACUCUUUAAUGUGCAAGAAAGAACAGUUCUCUAGGAUAACAGCCUUGGUUCUAAUCCUACUUCUUUUGUUUCUCUGUUGCUGGAAAAGGGAGGAGGUUUGUGGUUAUUUUCCAUUGCUUUCUCUCAAAGAGUAUAGCUAUUUCUAUAAACAUCCCUGGAUCUUUGCCCUCAUCCCUCAUUCCUCUCCAUGGAGGUAAAGCCAACUACCUGACUGAUGGGUGACAAUUUGUUGGAACUAAUACCAGAUUUCCCAAGAGCCCAGAAUAAUUGUUUCUUGUCCUCAUGUUCACUGCUAAACCAGUAUCAGCAAUCAAAGCAAGCGGCUUUCUGCAGCAUACUAAUUGUCCCUGUGUAUUUUCCCAGUCCUGAUAGAAUACAGACAAUAGAGAGACCCAGAGAUUAUUGGAGCCACAGAUGGAAAGAUCCUGGGUCCCUGAAUCGCCAUGGAAGAUAUUCUCCUGAUAUUUGGGUAAAUAUCCUGAAUUGCUAAGUGACUAAGAAAGAGAAUCCUAUUGAACUGUGCCAUUUAAAAUAUGGGCAUUUAUUUGUUAAAGCAUCUAGUGCUAUCCUGAGCAAUGCUGAAAUUGUUUUUUAAAAAUUUACUAUGCAGUGUAUUCAUUUUAAAUUGAUGCAUUUCAUAUUUUUCAAUUUGAAUUUUGCUUUAGGGGAUAUAUACAAACACACAUCUAUAUAAACAUAUAUGUACCUUUCAAUAGGACAUGCAUAAACAAUAUGCUAAUUUUAAAAUUUGCCAUUUUCUUUGGUGUUCUCCACUGUUAGAGCACCCAGAAUUUGGGAAGUUUUGGAGAAGAAUGCCUUCUUUGUAACCAGACUUCUUGGGGUCAGAUGGUUGAGGGUUUUUUUCUUUCUUUCUUUUUUUUUUUUUUAAUGUUUGUUACUCAUAGACAUAGAUGAGGAGAUUUUAUGUAAGACAACUGGUUUCUUGUUUUUAUUAGUCAUGGCUGAUCUCAUUGUUAUGAUUAUGGUUUCAUUUAAAAGAGGAGGUGUUAAAAAAAAACUUACUGAAGGAAAGGAAAGAGCAACUUACCAUUUCUUCCUUGUCAAACUAAAAUAAUAUCUAUUGCAUUGGUAAGGAUCCUAUACAUGAGGAAAUGCCAAAGGUUUGAGAACCCGUAGUAUGUGCCCAUUACAUGAAAUAUAUCAUAAGUCCACAAGGAUUUUUGUAAAAUUUUGAAACAGAUACAUUAGGAAUCCACAUUUCCUUCUUUAGGGAUUCUGUUGUAAUAACCUAUGUUUCUAUUCUAAUUCAAAUGCUAUUUCUUCACCUAUCAAAUCAAAAUGAUAUAAAAAUAGAAAUUACAAAAUAAUGUAGAGCCACUGAGUGUCUUACCUGUAAUAUUAUGGACUUCGUAGACAAAAUUCACACCAAACAGAACUAUGUUCUGAAAGGCAGUAAAGUUACUGAUGAAGGGUGCCCUAUCCCCAGGAACAAGCAUUCUUGGUGGCAGGCCCUUCUGGAAGUUACGGACUCUAAUCAAAGUUGUAGGAAAGAGUGAUGCAGCUAAAUAAUCCACACAAGUAGCCCAGCUUCUUUGGAAAUCUGCUUCUUCUUUAGAAUAAUAUUUAAAUCUAAUUCAGAAAUAGGAAAAGGAUUGUAAUUACAGUUAGUCUACUGAAACUUUUACCAUGUCAGUUUCAAAAAAGAUGAUUUGCUCAACAAACUAUAUUUUUCCCGUUUUAGAAUACAGAAGUUAGACAAUAUUGAUGAAUAGCCCCUACAGUUUUUUUUUGAAAUGUGAAGAGAGGGUCUUAGAAGUUUAAACUUGUGAAGGAGCAUACCUUAAAUUUUAAUUUUAUUAGGAUUUUCUCCAUUUAAUAAAGCAUGCUAAAUUUGCAUACCAGCUAAACCUAUGUCUAAGUCACAUUUAUUUUUUGAAAUGUAAAGGUAAGAAGCAAAUGUGCUAAGACAGAAUUUCUUCAGACUUGCUCAUCUCUCAAGGAAUAGCUGAUUUCCCAUGUCGGGUAAAGACUAAAAAUGAAAGAUCUUACAAUGAGAUCCUUUUAAUGUUUUUUUUCCCCAUAUAAUUGGGGAGGAAAAUAUUCACAUGUAAAUUUUAAGUCUGUAGAUAAGAGUUUUACAGUUAUACAGUCUGUACCUGUCACACCCAGCGGUCUAAGCAUGAUGAACGACUUUCAGUUUUGUAAACAAGCUUAUUAACUUUGAAACUUUUACCCUAAUAAGCUUCCAACUUCUUCAAGACUUAUCUUGCCACAACAUUCCUGAAGCUUGUCUGUCUGUCUUGAGCAUUUAGUAUCAAGCUAAACAAUACAAGCAUGGAGGCUGGAUGCAGGAGACAUGGAAAGAAAUUUACAAUGCAACCUCUGGUUCACAUCUAGUGAAAGAAAUACAUAUGCAAAUAUGUGAUUCAUAGGAAAUUAUGGGAACACAAAGAAGAAAGGAAUAGUUAUGCCUUUGAUGAUAGAAGAAUUUGGCUAACAUUUUAUGCUUCUUCUCUAAUCAGUAUAGCUGACUCUGAAACUUAAGAAAGAGAAAAUGUGAAUUCAUAAGGUCUUUUGUAAGGGUCCUAAUAAUAGCACAAUUAGACAUUAAGUGGAUUACAGGGGAGCACAUGGCAGAGGUGAAAAGAGUUGAAGAGACCAGGGGCACAAGAGCAAAGUGAAUCUCAGAAUGCAAACUUAGUUAGAAAGAGGGUAUUUGCAGAUAUAAUUAGUUAAAAUGAGGUCAUACUGAUCACAGCAGACCCUAAAUCCAACGUCUCUGUCCUUUAUCAGGAGAUUGAGAUUUGUAGAUUCCAAGAAGGAAGAUGGUCACGUGAAGACGGCAGAUUGGAGUGGUGAAGCUACAAGCAAAGGAAGAAUAAGAUGGGUAUUAAGCACACUUCUGAAGUCCUGUAUUGAAUGAAUACAGAAAGAGAAAAAACCAUGGAAGCAAGAAACCAGAAAGAGAUGGGAGAGAACAGCAAGCAUUGCCAUGUGCCGUGUCACGUGACAGGGGGCCAAGGAUCAACAGCAGCCAGUCUUGAGAGGAAAGCAUCACCUUGAUCAUACCUUG